ACGGACGAGAUCAGAAAAUGUCGGGGAUGAUUUGGGCCUUAGUGGUCCUGUGGUGGCUGCGUUUGAAUCCUACUGGCCUGCUAAGUCCCAAGUUAUAUCCGAUGUUGG
This 108-nucleotide microRNA precursor is filed under the name Dinoponera quadriceps. Its description in RNAcentral is "microRNA dqu-mir-193 precursor". Its record names the gene dqu-mir-193. Lineage: Eukaryota; Metazoa; Arthropoda; Insecta; Hymenoptera; Formicidae. The record is from miRBase by way of RNAcentral.